CGCCCACCUCGUCCUUCAGAUGGGGGUCCAGCUACGCCGGGCCUUGCAGCCAUACCCAGGAUGAAUGGGGGUGAGGAGAGGCCUUGGCAGAGCUCGGCCUCAGGAUCUCGUCCCGGUGGAGGUACAGCAAAGGGGAAGCCGUCUUACUGGCCUUUCCUCUGCUGAGAUCACGGGAAAUACGCGGGCGGGUCCAGUUGUGCUUCCGCACAGCUAGUUGUUGACAAAAGUAGGAAGACUGGCAGACAAGCGACCCAAUCAAAAGAGAGAUCGGUGACAGUAGUUAAAGGCAUCAUCUACUGAAAGAGUAGGAGAAGAUGGCCACUCUGAACCAUACCAACUGUAAUUCAGCGUCACCAGCUGCUCUGGAGAAGACGAAGACUUCUGGUGGUCUUCGGAGCCCCCAGAUAGCCCAUGAGCCUCAUGACUUCGGUGGUUCCCUGCUUCUGCAACCAGGAAGGGAGAUUCAAUCAGAGGAUGAAGGGACUGCCCCAGCCGGCGAUGGCUCAAGUUGUAACAUUAGGGGUUCUCGAACCCAGAGCCCAGGGGGCUGUUCAGUGGAGGCGGUGCUGGCCCGGAAGAAACACCGUAGGCGGCCAUCAAAACGCAAGCGGCACUGGCGGCCAUACUUGGAGCUGAGCUGGGCUGAGAAGCAACAGCGGGAUGAGAGGCAGAGCCAGAGGGCCUCUCGGGUCCGCCAGGAGAUGUUCGC
Molecule: long non-coding RNA, 709 nt
Filed under: Rattus norvegicus (Norway rat)
Lineage: Eukaryota; Metazoa; Chordata; Mammalia; Rodentia; Muridae
Description: long non-coding RNA NONRATT004952
Source: RNAcentral